RNAcentral lists this non-coding RNA (720 nucleotides) under Gavia stellata (red-throated loon). RNAcentral's name for it is "Eukaryotic large subunit ribosomal RNA". It matches the Rfam family "Eukaryotic large subunit ribosomal RNA", at positions 2555 to 3401 of the family's 3401-position model. Lineage: Eukaryota; Metazoa; Chordata; Aves; Gaviiformes; Gaviidae. The record is from Rfam by way of RNAcentral.
UAAUCAAGGGCAGGUUAGUGGGACCCAGUGGGCUUUAUGCAAGAGGGAAUGUUGAAAAAGCUCUAGUGCUUCUGCACAUCCUUAUGUCAAAUCCUCCCUACCUGAGGUGUCUGAGGCAAGCCCAGGGAAGACAGAAACUUGGGUAGCAUAAAGGGCAAAAGUACACUUAAUCUUGUUUUUCAGAAGGAAUACAGGCCAUGCUAGUGUGGUCUCAGGAUCUUCUGACUUUCUAGGUUUUAAGCAAAAGAUGUCAGAAAAGUUACCACAGAGAAAACCAUCUCGUGGCAGUCAAGUAUUAGCAAAGUUACUUCAGCCCUUUGAUGUCGGCUUUUCCUGUCACAAAACAGAAUUUACCAAGUGUUGGUUGGUUCAUCCAUUAACAACGAACACGAGCAGGGUUUAGACUGCCAUGAGACAAGUUAGUUUUACCCUCCUGAUGAUGUUACAAACACAACCCUGCUCAGUACGAGGGAUACCACACGUUCAGGUACCUGGUGAGAAGCCAAUGGGCCAAAGCUACCAUCUCCAGGAUUAUGGCACCUCCCUGUGUGAAUGGAUGCCCGUUGCCAAAAGGGCUGAUAUGGUGAUGAAAGCUGUCAGGCUCAGGACCAGAGUGGCUGCAGAAAGGAGCUGCUGCCAACUGCAGUCUGCUGUGAGGUCUUGAGGGGAACAGGUUGCUACAGCCUACCUCAGUGGGCUUUUCCUUCUGACCCAAAAUCC